Molecule: ribosomal RNA, 485 nt
Filed under: uncultured bacterium
Lineage: Bacteria
Description: partial 16S ribosomal RNA
Rfam family: Bacterial small subunit ribosomal RNA
Source: RNAcentral
AUUGAACGCUGGCGGCAUGCCUUACACGUGCAAGUCGAACGGCAGCACGGGUGCUUGCACCUGGUGGCGAGUGGCGAACGGGUGAGUAAUACAUCGGAACAUGUCCUGUAGUGGGGGAUAGCCCGGCGAAAGCCGGAUUAAUACCGCAUACGAUCUACGGAUGAAAGCGGGGGACCUUCGGGCCUCGCGCUAUAGGGUUGGCCGAUAGCUGAUUAGCUAGUUGGUGGGGUAAAGGCCUACCAAGGCGACGAUCAGUAGCUGGUCUGAGAGGACGACCAGCCACACUGGGACUGAGACACGGCCCAGACUCCUACGGGAGGCAGCAGUGGGAAUUUUGGACAAUGGGCGAAAGCCUGAUCCAGCAAUGCCGCGUGUGUGAAGAAGGCCUUCGGGUUGUAAAGCACUUUUGUCCGGAAAGAAAUCCUUGGCUCUAAUACAGUCGGGGGAUGACGGUACCGGAAGAAUAAGCACCGGCUAACUACGUG